CACUUAUAAGACACUUCAUAUAUGGAAAUUCCUAAUAUAAAACAUUUAUUAACUUAAAAAUAUAAAUACAAAUUUGAUAUUUAUUUCAUAAAACAGGAGGGAAAGAGAAUAUAUACAUAGAUGCAGACAAAUUGAUAAAGUUGCAGGGGAGUAGAUAAGAUGAUUUAUGCCUGAUUUAUCUUCUCUGUGAACUCUAAAUUAAAGUUAUCAGUAGAGAGAAGGGGAUGCUGGGGAUGUGGGGAGAAAGGAGGACAUGAAGGGUGGGGUGUGAAGGAGGCAGCGGGUUCAUGGAUUCAGCUAUAGGCCUGGAGAAUUGCCAGAAUGUGCAUUCUAGAGUAAAGGAGCCAAAGGACAGGAGAGAGUUGUCAGAGAUUAGAUGACUGGAACAGAUUUCUGAGGAGCUAUAGUUAUUGCAAAUGGCAAAAUUUAGUAUAGGACCAUGUGAGUGUGAGAUGAAAUGCGGUCAAGCAAAAGACUGCUGGAAGAGAGAAGCCAAAGAGAUGGAAAUAGUGAGAUAAUGGCUGAAGUCAUCAAAGAAGAGGAGAAGGACUGGCAGUUCAGUCUAUGAAAGCACAAGAGGUCUGGAGGAGGGAAAGUCUGAUACAAAGGAGAGAGGCAAGAUAAAAUCAAAGAGGUAAGGGUGAGCGGGGUGGGGGAACUUGUCCAGCCCCAUCCCUGAGGCCGUGGUGAGUGGGCCUUGGGAAAACACAAGUUCCACUUGAGAAGGUCUGCAGGGGAAUCUGUCCUCAGAGGACAGUCGUAGAGAAAUCAGGUGCAGGGAGAGGGAGGCUUAGAGAAGAGGUCACAGGUGGAGGGAUGAGAUGACCAACCCGGGUUUCAAGGGUCUGCUGAUGGACUUGUAUGGAGGGGGAGUUUGAGGGACAGCUCCAGGCUUGAUAUGCAGAGUAUGCCGGGCAGUGUAAGGGUGAUGUGGAAGACUUGGAUUUCAAUGGUGACUGGGGUGACAGGAUUGUCCUAAGGUCAAAGCACUUAGCUAUUUAAAAACCUGGGCAGACUGGCCUUGUCUAUUCCUGGAGGUCUCCUUAUCUUAUGGCACCAUGGCAUGGGGUCUGAUUUCUCUCCCAGCUGCUGUCAGAAACAGCUCAUGGGGCCAGUUCAGUUACGGUUCUGGUCCAGUGUGGUGGGACAUGCCUCCCAUAUUUGUUACACUUGUGCAAACGAGGGCCUUCCCUCUCAAAUGUCUCUACUGUGGUCAAUCACCUGACCAUCACCUGUGAUCCAUCCACCUCAGGCCUUUCAAGAUGGAGCUUAAGCAGCCUCAUGCUUUUGACAGCUAAUUUGUGAUAGUAUUCUUAAAAAUUUAUUUGUUUGGGUUCAAUGCAAUUGAAAAAUGUGAGAGGCCUGAUAUCUAGAGUUUUACUUUUUACUCAACUCUCCUGCUAUUAGUGUUUUUAAAAUUUUGAACAGUGGAUUAAUUAUAGAAAUGAAGGGGUUUUAUUUGCCAAGUUUUUAAAGUCUAAUAUUUGCUGAUGGCUCAGGUCCAUUGGGAAGUCCACAACUAGGACAUGUUUUAUGGAAUGCAUGACAUUACCUCCACAAUUCUGGUGAUAGAUGCCAGGUUUCUCCGGACUUGAAAGAGGCGUGUAGGGGGAGCAGGUGCCUGACCUCCUUUCUUUGAUGUUCCAUUCUUGUAAAUAAUGAGCGGUUUGUCUUUGAACAAACUCAGCAGGUGAAUAGGCUCUUUGCCUUGGGAGACUCGGAUCUGAUGGGGGAGAAGGGGAAUAAAAGAAAUAUAAUUAAGAGUACCGUGAAAGAAGGUUUUAGUUCCAAGUGUGUUCUUAUGUUCUCUUUUUGAAAAUAAAACAAAAAAUAAAAAGUCAAGAGCAGGAGAAAUGAUGAUUAACAGAAAAUAUAGGUUAAUGAAAAUCAGUUUUCCUUGGUGACUUAAGAAUCUUUUGUUUUUGCAGGCACGGUGUCCCUGAGUAGUUUCUUGUCAGGGGAAACAUCACCAUGCUCCAAUACUUUCUGUUUUUGAAAAGUAUGAAGAUUUAAGUUUGUUUGUUACAUCUCCGAAAGAGACAAGGAUUCAACUGGCUAACAAUUCAUGGAAAUUCAUAAUCGAGUGUAUCAAAUAUAGUACUAUGAAAUAUGAAAUAUGUAAGACAAUGCAUAUCUUCAAAGUUUUUUGUAAUAGUUUGUUUCUGAGGAUUAGGACAUGAACACUUUGGGGGAUUAUUCUGCCUACCGUAUCUGUUGAACAACAGCUGGAAACAAUAAUACAGAUAGGAGACUAUUAUUUUCCCAGGCAAGACUUGGUAGACUAUGACCAGAUACUGAAGAUGCUACAACACACUGAAUGUUUGAGUCCGUCCACGAUUUAUGUUGAAAUCCUAACCUCCAGUGUGACGGUAUUAGGAGGUGGGACCUUUGGGAGGUACUUAGGUCAUGAGGCCAGAACCCUCAUGAAUGAAAUUAGUGCCUUUAUAAUCAGAAAGCUCUCUAGCUCCUUUUUCACCACGUGAGGAUGCAGCAAAAAGUCUACCGGGAAGUGGAUCCUCCACCAAACACUGAGCCCAUCAAAACCUUCAACGUAGACUCCCCAGCCUCCAGAAUGCCCCGUGGUCCAAAAUAAAGCAUUCUUCAGAAAGCAGCAUUGCCAUCGAGAAGGGGUUUUCUUCUGCCACCACAGUCACCCUCAUGGAGCCACUUGCAUCUGAAACCUAAUAUAAAAACCACGACCUCCAUGUUUUCAUUUGGGAAUGAUGAGGAUGUUCUAUAAUUAGAUUAUGGUAACGGUUGUACAACUCGGUAAAUGUAAUAAAAUAAAAAGCAUUGAACUGUA
Non-coding RNA from Macaca mulatta (Rhesus monkey), 2803 nucleotides. The record is from RefSeq and is a predicted model, not a curated record. Lineage: Eukaryota; Metazoa; Chordata; Mammalia; Primates; Cercopithecidae.